Molecule: long non-coding RNA, 3074 nt
Organism: Rhododendron vialii
Lineage: Eukaryota; Viridiplantae; Streptophyta; Magnoliopsida; Ericales; Ericaceae
Exons: 2
Source: RefSeq, a predicted model, not a curated record
UCCCUUUUUUGCAAUUUGCUAACGUAUUUUGGAAUGACUUUGAUAAUCCGAUUUUCCCACAUUGUGAAAUUUUCAAUUUCGUUAAUCAUGUAGAAUAUCUAGUCGAUCAAAUACCUACUGAUAUUUUAUCGAAGGAGAUAUUUCGAAAAACAAUGAAACGAUUUGAACUGGGCACAUUUGAUUUCAACCUUAUAAAAGGUAGCUUUGAUUACAAUCAAGUAGGAAGCUUUUCCGCCGUUUUUGGCAAAUUUCUGACCUUAGUUUGGAAUCAAUUUGAUGAUCGAUUCGUCCACAUUGUCGAGGUGUGUUUGCAACUCGGGCGGUCAGAGCCGGUGAACUAUGACCACAUGGGCCAAAGGUACAAUGGGUGGUGGUUGUUGCAUCUAAUUCAAUUUCUAUCGGCGUACAAUCUAGUAGCUUUGCGGGUUUUGAUUUUAUAUUGCUUACGGUAUUAAAAAUUGAUGAAAUGUAUAUGCCUUCCACGUGUUUGACAUUUGGCUUCUGAAGUAAGUCGUUUUUCGGCCUAUAGUUUUUUGUGAAGUCUUGAUUCCAAAAUAAGCAGCAAAGUCGGGAUCCAUAGCUUUGAAACCAUUCUUUCAUCUGAAGUUUUCUGGGCAAUUGAGUUUCAUAUGACUUGGAAGUUGGAACUACAUCUCUCACUUUGUCACUCUCGCAAACAUACUAACAAAGUCACAGUCUUUUGCAGUUACCCACCAGGUGAAAUUAUUGUCAGGGCUCGUUGGUUGCUUCCAUUGAACAAAGCAGCCUAAGCAGCUGGUUUGGAGAAUCAUGGAAGCACACAAAGGGAGGAUACGCAGUUUGUAGAAUCGGUGUAUUUGUGCGUACAUUAUCUCUUUUGGAUAGUUUUAUUGAUGAAUCCGUACUUCACUUUCCAGUAAACCCUGGUGAACUAGAUUUCCAGAAUCAUGUUAGUUUAGUGAGGCUUAGAUAGUAUAUAAUAUCAACCCAGAAUGUUGAUCUCCUCAUAUAUUCUUACAGUAUAGCUGAUUUGGACUUUCUGAAAAGUCUUAAAUAUUACCUUACUACUGUCUACUCUAACCAGAAUGUUAUACUAUUCAUUGUUAUCCUUUGCGAUGACUAUUUUUAUGAUAUGUUCGUUAACUAAGGUAAUGAUCCCUCUAACUUGUCCAUGUUUUCUUUCUAGCCUGUCCUUCCCUCUCACUUAGCUGAAUAUGAGAGGCUCAGGUGGUGUCGGGUAGCAUUUCAUGCACUUUCAUUUCCACCCAGAAAUUUUGGCACUGGGACAACUAAUGGUGGAAAGUCAUUUCGGCUUUUCCCUCCAGAUACUCGGGACUUAAGUUCUUUCAGCAUCUUUUGUACAAACCUGUCUAAUUUCUGUGUGGGAGGAUAGAUUUGCAUCUUCAGUUGAAAGAUGUGAACCAGGUGGUUGUAGGACUUGUGUGGAAGAGCAAUUUUGCAACAAAUGUUCCUUUGGUUAGGAAUAGCUAAGACAUGAACAUGCUGACCAUCCUUCUUCAGAUGUUGUACCUUUGGUCUUGCUAGUGUGAGGUAAGAAAAAAUCCAGUUAAGAAUGCAUUGACACUGGUUAAAAAUCGGAUUACGGAAUCUGGUUUGGCUUGUGGGUACUGAUAUUUCAGUCAUUAUUGAGCAUGAAAAGAUUUAAUUGUAGUUAGAGUGCAAGCGGUUUAAUCAUUCCACAAUUCGGCAUGGGACUCUUGGGUGGAAGUCAUGUAUGGUGCUCCAUUGAGGCAUGCAAGCUUGAUUCUAAAUUCAGGGCCAUGCAGGGACACCAUUUAAUUGCGCACUUCCACUUAGAAUAGGUAGUCCUAUCCUAUUCAUGAUGUAUUGCAUCAUUCAAUUGGGAUAUGCUGCUUUAUCCGUUGGCUUGAUUUAGCUUUCUCUCGUGAAAUGCAUUUUUUUUCUCUUUCUUGAACUGCUAUUUUUUGUUGUUGUAACAUCUGUCUUCCGGUAGGAUGAUUGAUUGGAAAUUAACUUUUCCAUAACAGGAUACGAGCAUUAGGCCAACCUAUCUUGCUUUCAAUCUUGGCCUUGUGAGAGAUACCUUGGCAUAUACUCCCUCAGACAUCCCAAAAUACCGUAACCAGACAACACCAUUUCACACACAUACCCCCCCAAUGCACUUCCCCACCACACCCACACACUUACAUAGCCACACACACCCAAUGGAUACUUCAACUGAUAUCGAUACAGGUGCAGGAGAAUGGUGUGAACUGUGAACAAUUCCAUAGGAGUGACGUAAAUACCUCACUCACGUACCAAUCUGUAUUUCCUUGGUGUAUACUCACUCCAAUUACCCUAUGGAAGAUUUGGAACGAUAGUAUCUGGGAUUUGUUCUGAUAAUAUUGAUUCCAUUGUUCAAUAAAUCUGUAGAAAAAUUGAGUCUUAUGAAUCCAAAUGUGUUGAGGCAUUUAAAUUCCCCCAAAUCCUCUUGCUGCUUCUCCUAUUUAAGUUUAAUGGUAUCCUCCUAGAGCAGGAACUUUGAAGCUAAACAUGGAUGGCAGCUGACAUGAAAGUAAUGGAAAAGGAGGUUUUGGUGGUGUUUUCAAAAUAGAAGAAGGCAGAUGGCACCUUGGUUAGUACGGCAAGUUCACAUUUACCUCAAGUUUAGAAGCUGAAAUUUGGCUAUUGGGGCCUAACCAUCAUCUUAGUGAAAAGGAUGACCAAUGUGAAGAUAGAGUCUGAGCCACUUCAAGCUGCCAAUUCGAUUAGGAAGGAGCCCCUCCAACCUGGCUGCAUGGUGCUGUCAUUUGGGAUGCUUUGUUUUUGUUAUUCAGGAAGAGCUGCUCCAUUGGACACAUUUGUCAAAAAGCCUAUCAAAGUGCCCACCACCUAGCAAGACUUGGAUCUGAGCAAGAUGAAGACCCCAUAGUGUGCGUCCACAUGCACAUUUUGUGCUCAAAGAUGCCACGGGGACGAGUUGGCUUAGGGAUCAGCCCGAGUUGUUUAUGUAUUAUGUAGUUAUGGUUGUGUUCUCUUCCCUAUUACAAGCCAGUUAGCAAUUAUUUAUAGUGUUUGUAGUUAGGAAGUGUAAAUGACUACUUCUAAGCACUUUAUUACACUUUCUUUUUUUU